RNAcentral lists this non-coding RNA (25 nucleotides) under Cricetulus griseus (Chinese hamster). Lineage: Eukaryota; Metazoa; Chordata; Mammalia; Rodentia; Cricetidae. The record is from RNAcentral.
UCUCUGGGCUGGAGGAAGAGCAUCU